GCUCCUACGGGACGCAGCAGUGGGGAAUAUUGCACAAUGGGGGAAACCCUGAUGCAGCGACGCCGCGUGAGCGAUGAAGUAUUACGGUAUGUAAAGCUCUAUCAGCAGGGAAGAAAAUGACGGUACCUGACUAAGAAGCCCCGGCUAACUACGUGCCAGCAGCCGCGGUAAUACGUAGGGGGCAAGCGUUAUCCGGAUUUACUGGGUGUAAAGGGGGCGCAGACGGCGAUGCAAGCCAGGAGUGAAAGCCCGGGGCCCAACCCCGGGACUGCUCUUGGAACUGCGUGGCUAGAGUGCAGGAGGGG
This 305-nucleotide ribosomal RNA is filed under the name uncultured bacterium. RNAcentral's name for it is "bacterial SSU rRNA". It matches the Rfam family "Bacterial small subunit ribosomal RNA", at positions 335 to 657 of the family's 1533-position model. The record is from RNAcentral.